UGCAGUCGACGGUAGCAGAAAGCAGCUUGCUGCUUUGCUGACGAGUGGCGGACGGGUGAGUAAUGUCUGGGAAACUGCCUGAUGGAGGGGGAUAACUACUGGAAACGGUAGCUAAUACCGCAUAACGUCUCAAGACCAUGGAGGGGGACCUUCGGGCCUCUUGCCAUCGGAUGUGCCCAUAUGGGAUUAGCUUGUUGGUGGGGUAACGGCUCACCAAGGCGACGAUCCCUAGCUGGUCUGACAGGAUGACCGGCCACACUGGAACUGAGACACGGUCCAGACUCCUACGGGAGGCAGCAGUGGGGAAUAUUGCACAAUGGGCGCAAGCCUGAUGCAGCCAUGCCGCGUGUAUGAAGAAGGCCUUCGGGUUGUAAAGUACUUUCAGCGGGGAGGAAGGGAGUAAAGUUAAUACCUUUGCUCAUUGACGUUACCCGCAGAAGAAGCACCGGCUAACUCCGUGCCAGCAGCCGCGGUAAUACGGAGGGUGCAAGCGUUAAUCGGAAUUACUGGGCGUAUAGCGCACGCAGCGGUUUGUUAAGUCAGAUGUGAAAUCCCCGGGAUCCACCUGGGAACUGCAUCUGAUACUGUCGAGCUUGAGUCUACGUAGAGGGGGAUAGAAAUACAUGUGUAUCCGUGGAAUGCGUAGAGAUGCUGGAAGAAUAUUCGGUGGACGACAGCGGACCCUGGACUAUUACUGACGCUCCUGU
This 707-nucleotide ribosomal RNA is filed under the name Escherichia coli. Its description in RNAcentral is "bacterial SSU rRNA". It matches the Rfam family "Bacterial small subunit ribosomal RNA", at positions 56 to 752 of the family's 1533-position model. The record is from RNAcentral. Lineage: Bacteria; Pseudomonadati; Pseudomonadota; Gammaproteobacteria; Enterobacterales; Enterobacteriaceae.